GAAGGUAUAGCUCAGUGGUAGAGUGCCUGCUUAGCAUGCAUGAGUUCCUGGGUUCAAUUCCCAUGUACCUCUA
Molecule: transfer RNA, 73 nt
Filed under: Camelus bactrianus (Bactrian camel)
Lineage: Eukaryota; Metazoa; Chordata; Mammalia; Artiodactyla; Camelidae
Also listed under: 2 other names
Rfam family: tRNA
About the family: Transfer RNA (tRNA) molecules are approximately 80 nucleotides in length. Their secondary structure includes four short double-helical elements and three loops (D, anti-codon, and T loops).
Source: Rfam by way of RNAcentral